Molecule: long non-coding RNA, 812 nt
Organism: Gasterosteus aculeatus aculeatus (three-spined stickleback)
Lineage: Eukaryota; Metazoa; Chordata; Actinopteri; Perciformes; Gasterosteidae
Source: Ensembl
GGCCCCAAGCACCAGGCACCAAACACCAAGCACCAAACACCAGGCACCAAACACCAGGCACCAAACACCAGGCACCAAGCACCAGGCACCAAGCACCAAACACCAGGCACCAAACACCAGGCACCAAGCACCAGGCACCAAACACCAAGCACCAAACACCAGGCACCAAACACCAGGCACCAAACACCAGGCACCAAGCACCAGGCACCAAGCACCAGGCACCAAGCACCAGGCACCAAGCACCAAGCACCAGGCACCAAACACCAAGCACCAAACACCAGGCACCAAACACCAGGCACCAAACACCAGGGUCGGAGCUGGCAGAAAAACUUCAUCAUCUUUCACUCCAAGUCAAAAUAAACCACCACUGCGACAAGAUGAAAAUCAAUCAGUGCUUCAGUUUUGAUAGGAAAUGGUCAUAAACUUAACAGCUCAACUGCUUCUUUUUUAUUCUACCUCUAAGUGGCAGCAGAGGCCUUCAUUUACCAGGUCAUCUCUGAGGAGAAACUGUCAAGCGGGACCAUCUCUUUUCCCCAACCAGGAAACCAGCAGUAAGGAACAAAAGGACCAAAGUUCAAAAGACAAGCCAACUAAAAAUGAUGCCCGUAUUAUCUGCUGACAUCAUUUUUUGUCUUUGUUAAAAUACUGUUUAUAAUAGUCUUUUUUUGUUGAUCAGCUGAUUCGUUUUCACUUCAGAGAAUUAAGUUUUACGGAAGGAAAGGAAUGUAAAGUAAAGUAAAGUUUUAAAGCAAAAAAAAAUAAAUCGUCCUUCCCUUUAACAUACAUACACACACACACACACACACACACAC